GUCAUUUAGCUCGACUUGCAAAAACGUAUUUAAGAUUGCCAUCUAAAAGUAAUUUACUAAGUUUAGGCUUUCAAAAUAUUCUGUUGACAAAGGCUUCGCUUCUUGUGACUGAAUACUGUUCGUAAAGUGACGUUAAUAAUGGCAUCUCACCUUAAACUGCGCAACGUAUUGAAGCAUAACGAGCGCCAUUGCAAAUUAAGAGAAAACAUGAAAAAAGUGACUUGUGGGUCAACUCCCUUUACAUUGCCAGGUGGAAAAAGUACUGAAGUAACGACAUGCUAUUCAAGACAGCUACGAACAAACUACCUUUUGGGGUUUUAUUGCUCGGUGAAGGCGAAUAAAAGACCGCACGCAAGUCUACAGAGACUCCGAUGGCAGCUGACGGCGGGAUAUCACAGGCAGCUAAAAAACUUACUCGCAGUAAAGCGACCUCAUCUGAUUAUUUUGAAUUCCCAUCAGAUGUCAAAUCAACAGAUGAAAAGUCCCGAACAAAACAAGAGGUGUUGAGGACAAUCAAGAGAAUGACAGAAGAGAACAAGGUCAUCCGAGAUAGAUUACUGGCCUUGAGUCAGAUGAGCCAAAGCAGUUGAGGUGGUUCCACAGGUAGAGUUUUUUUGGACAGAAUCCUUUACACAUGACAGAAUCAAAUGAAGUAUUCCAUUCACCAUGAAUGCUACAGCAGUUGCUUGUAUGUUUUAAUUUGCAUUCCACACCCUUAACAUGGUUGUUGUAAAUUGCUAAUAACAUUUCCGGGUUCUUUACACAAGUUCUUCACACAGUUCAGUUCCAUUGAAAUGUCAGGCUUCCAUUCAUGUUCUGAAAGUUCUAAAAAAAUCUAAAACGACUUAUUCGGAGUCAAAUAAACAAUUUUGAAAACCAAACUUUGAA
Long non-coding RNA from Triplophysa dalaica, 888 nucleotides. RefSeq lists it as uncharacterized. The record is from RefSeq and is a predicted model, not a curated record. Lineage: Eukaryota; Metazoa; Chordata; Actinopteri; Cypriniformes; Nemacheilidae. The transcript is spliced from 4 exons.